CCUACGGGAGGCAGCAGUGGGGAAUAUUGCGCAAUGGAGGAAACUCUGACGCAGCAACGCCGCGUGAAGGAAGAAGGUCUUCGGAUUGUAAACUUCUUUGAUUGGGGACGAACGAAUGACGGUACCCAAAAAACAAGCCACGGCUAACUACGUGCCAGCAGCCGCGGUAAUACGUAGGUGGCGAGCGUUGUCCGGAAUUACUGGGUGUAAAGGGCGUGUAGGCGGGGGUGUAAGUCAGAUGUGAAAUUCCUAGGCUUAACCUGGGCGCUGCAUCUGAAACUAUACCUCUUGAGUGCUGGAGAGGAAAGCGAAAUUCCAAGUGUAGGGGUAAAAUGCGGAGAUAUUGGGAGGAACACCAGGGGCGAAGGCGGCUUUCGGGACAGUAACUGACGCUGAGGCGCGAAAGCGUGGGGAGCAAACAGGAUUAGAUCCCCUAGUAGU
Molecule: ribosomal RNA, 441 nt
Rfam family: Bacterial small subunit ribosomal RNA